ACAGGGUGACAGCCCCGUACACAAAAAUGCACAUAUUGUGAGCUCGAUGAGUAGGGCGGGACACGUGGUAUCCUGUCUGAAUAUGGGGGGCCCAUCCUCCAAGGCUAAAUACUCCUGACUGACCGAUAGUGAACCAGUACCGUGAGGGAAAGGCGAAAAGAACCCCGGCGAGGGGAGUGAAAAAGAACCUGAAACCGUGUACGUACAAGCAGUGGGAGCACGCUUAGGCGUGUGACUGCGUACCUUUUGUAUAAUGGGUCAGCGACUUAUAUUCUGUAGCAAGGUUAACCGAAUAGGGGAGCCGAAGGGAAACCGAGUCUUAACUGGGCGUUAAGUUGCAGGGUAUAGACCCGAAACCCGGUGAUCUAGCCAUGGGCAGGUUGAAGGUUGGGUAACACUAACUGGAGGACCGAACCGACUAAUGUUGAAAAAUUAGCGGAUGACUUGUGGCUGGGGGUGAAAGGCCAAUCAAACCGGGAGAUAGCUGGUUCUCCCCGAAAGCUAUUUAGGUAGCGCCUCGUGAAUUCAUCUCCGGGGGUAGAGCACUGUUUCGGCAAGGGGGUCAUCCCGACUUACCAACCCGAUGCAAACUGCGAAUACCGGAGAAUGUUAUCACGGGAGACACACGGCGGGUGCUAACGUCCGUCGUGAAGAGGGAAACAACCCAGACCGCCAGCUAAGGUCCCAAAGUCAUGGUUAAGUGGGAAACGAUGUGGGAAGGCCCAGACAGCCAGGAUGUUGGCUUAGAAGCAGCCAUCAUUUAAAGAAAGCGUAAUAGCUCACUGGUCGAGUCGGCCUGCGCGGAAGAUGUAACGGGGCUAAACCAUGCACCGAAGCUGCGGCAGCGACGCUUAUGCGUUGUUGGGUAGGGGAGCGUUCUGUAAGCCUGCGAAGGUGUGCUGUGAGGCAUGCUGGAGGUAUCAGAAGUGCGAAUGCUGACAUAAGUAACGAUAAAGCGGGUGAAAAGCCCGCUCGCCGGAAGACCAAGGGUUCCUGUCCAACGUUAAUCGGGGCAGGGUGAGUCGACCCCUAAGGCGAGGCCGAAAGGCGUAGUCGAUGGGAAACAGGUUAAUAUUCCUGUACUUGGUGUUACUGCGAAGGGGGGACGGAGAAGGCUAUGUUGGCCGGGCGACGGUUGUCCCGGUUUAAGCGUGUAGGCUGGUUUUCCAGGCAAAUCCGGAAAAUCAAGGCUGAGGCGUGAUGACGAGGCACUACGGUGCUGAAGCAACAAAUGCCCUGCUUCCAGGAAAAGCCUCUAAGCAUCAGGUAACAUCAAAUCGUACCCCAAACCGACACAGGUGGUCAGGUAGAGAAUACCAAGGCGCUUGAGAGAACUCGGGUGAAGGAACUAGGCAAAAUGGUGCCGUAACUUCGGGAGAAGGCACGCUGAUAUGUAGGUGAAGUCCCUUGCGGAUGGAGCUGAAAUCAGUCGAAGAUACCAGCUGGCUGCAACUGUUUAUUAAAAACACAGCACUGUGCAAACACGAAAGUGGACGUAUACGGUGUGACGCCUGCCCGGUGCCGGAAGGUUAAUUGAUGGGGUCAGCGCAAGCGAAGCUCUUGAUCGAAGCCCCGGUAAACGGCGGCCGUAACUAUAACGGUCCUAAGGUAGCGAAAUUCCUUGUCGGGUAAGUUCCGACCUGCACGAAUGGCGUAAUGAUGGCCAGGCUGUCUCCACCCGAGACUCAGUGAAAUUGAACUCGCUGUGAAGAUGCAGUGUACCCGCGGCAAGACGGAAAGACCCCGUGAACCUUUACUAUAGCUUGACACUGAACAUUGAGCCUUGAUGUGUAGGAUAGGUGGGAGGCUUUGAAGUGUGGACGCCAGUCUGCAUGGAGCCGGCCUUGAAAUACCACCCUUUAAUGUUUGAUGUUCUAACGUGGACCCGUGAUCCGGGUUGCGGACAGUGUCUGGUGGGUAGUUUGACUGGGGCGGUCUCCUCCUAAAGAGUAACGGAGGAGCACGAAGGUUGGCUAAUCCUGGUCGGACAUCAGGAGGUUAGUGCAAUGGCAUAAGCCAGCUUGACUGCGAGCGUGACGGCGCGAGCAGGUGCGAAAGCAGGUCAUAGUGAUCCGGUGGUUCUGAAUGGAAGGGCCAUCGCUCAACGGAUAAAAGGUACUCCGGGGAUAACAGGCUGAUACCGCCCAAGAGUUCAUAUCGACGGCGGUGUUUGGCACCUCGAUGUCGGCUCAUCACAUCCUGGGGCUGAAGUAGGUCCCAAGGGUAUGGCUGUUCGCCAUUUAAAGUGGUACGCGAGCUGGGUUUAGAACGUCGUGAGACAGUUCGGUCCCUAUCUGCCGUGGGCGCUGGAGAACUGAGGGGGGCUGCUCCUAGUACGAGAGGACCGGAGUGGACGCAUCACUGGUGUUCGGGUUGUCAUGCCAAUGGCACUGCCCGGUAGCUAAAUGCGGAAGAGAUAAGUGCUGAAAGCAUCUAAGCACGAAACUUGCCCCGAGAUGAGUUCUCCCUGACCCUUUAAGGGUCCUGAAGGAACGUUGAAGACGACGACGUUGAUAGGCCGGGUGUGUAAGCGCAGCGAUGCGUUGAGCUAACCGGUACUAAUGAACCGUGAGG
RNAcentral lists this ribosomal RNA (2574 nucleotides) under Shigella sonnei. RNAcentral's name for it is "partial 23S ribosomal RNA". It matches the Rfam family "Bacterial large subunit ribosomal RNA", at positions 359 to 2915 of the family's 2925-position model. The record is from RNAcentral. Lineage: Bacteria; Pseudomonadati; Pseudomonadota; Gammaproteobacteria; Enterobacterales; Enterobacteriaceae.